This 75-nucleotide transfer RNA is filed under the name Roseitalea porphyridii. RNAcentral describes it as "tRNA-Val". It matches the Rfam family "tRNA". From Rfam's summary of the family: Transfer RNA (tRNA) molecules are approximately 80 nucleotides in length. Their secondary structure includes four short double-helical elements and three loops (D, anti-codon, and T loops). RNAcentral also lists the same sequence under 26 other names. Lineage: Bacteria; Pseudomonadati; Pseudomonadota; Alphaproteobacteria; Hyphomicrobiales; Ahrensiaceae. The record is from RNAcentral.
GGGCGAUUAGCUCAGCGGGAGAGCACUGCCUUCACACGGCAGGGGUCGCUGGUUCGAUCCCAGCAUCGCCCACCA